AGAGUUUGAUCAUGGCUCAGGAUGAACGCUAGCUACAGGCUUAACACAUGCAAGUCGAGGGGCAGCAUGUUGGUUGCUUGCAACCAAUGAUGGCGACCGGCGCACGGGUGAGUAACGCGUAUCCAACCUACCCUUGUCCAUCGGAUAACCCGUCGAAAGGCGGCCUAACACGAUAUGCGGUUCACAGCAGGCAUCUAAGGUGAACGAAAUGUGAAGGAGAAGGAUGGGGAUGCGUCUGAUUAGCUUGUUGGCGGGGUAACGGCCCACAAGGCUACGAUCAGUAGGGUUCUGAGAGGAAGGUCCCCCANAUUGGAACUGAGACACGGUCCAAACGUCCUACGGGAGGCA
RNAcentral lists this ribosomal RNA (348 nucleotides) under uncultured bacterium. Its description in RNAcentral is "bacterial SSU rRNA". It matches the Rfam family "Bacterial small subunit ribosomal RNA", at positions 8 to 350 of the family's 1533-position model. The record is from RNAcentral.